Molecule: ribosomal RNA, 173 nt
Filed under: Escherichia coli
Lineage: Bacteria; Pseudomonadati; Pseudomonadota; Gammaproteobacteria; Enterobacterales; Enterobacteriaceae
Description: partial 16S ribosomal RNA
Rfam family: Bacterial small subunit ribosomal RNA
Source: RNAcentral
UUAAAUUGAAGAGUUUGAUCAUGGCUCAGAUUGAACGCUGGCGGCAGGCCUAACACAUGCAAGUCGAACGGUAACAGGAAACAGCUUGCUGUUUCGCUGACGAGUGGCGGACGGGUGAGUAAUGUCUGGGAAACUGCCUGAUGGAGGGGGAUAACUACUGGAAACGGUAGCUA